GCAUAUCAAUAAGCGGAGGAAAAGAAACCAACAGGGAUUGCCUCAGUAACGGCGAAGUGAAGCGGCAACAGCUCAAAUUUGAAAUCUGGCCUCACGGUCCGAGUUGUAAUUUGUAGAGGAUGCUUUUGGCGAGGUGCUUUCCGAGUUCCCUGGAACGGGACGCCAUAGAGGGUGAGAGCCCCGUACGGUAAGACCACCGAGCCUCUGUAAAGCUCCUUCGACGAGUCGAGUAGUUUGGGAAUGCUGCUCUAAAUGGGAGGUGUACGUCUUCUAAAGCUAAAUACCGGCCAGAGACCGAUAGCGCACAAGUAGAGUGAUCGAAAGAUGAAAAGCACUUUGAAAAGAGGGUUAAAAAGUACGUGAAAUUGUUGAAAGGGAAGCAUUCAUGACCAGACUUGGGCUUGGUUGAACAUCCGGCGUUCUCGCCGGUGCACUCUGCCAGUCCAGGCCAGCAUCAGUUUGCCCCGGGGGACAAAGGCGGUGGGAAUGUGGCUCUCUUCGGGGAGUGUUAUAGCCCGCCGUGUAAUGCCCUGGGGCGGACUGAGGAACGCGCUUCGGCACGGAUGCUGGCGUAAUGGUCAUCAAUGACCCGUCUUGAAACACGGACCAAGGAGUCGUCUUCGUAUGCGAGUGUUCGGGUGUCAAACCCCCUACGCGUAAUGAAAGUGAACGUAGGUGAGAGCUUCGGCGCAUCACCGACCGAUCCUGAUGUUCUCGGAUGGAUUUGAGUAAGAGCAUACGGGGCCGGACCCGAAAGAAGGUGAACUAUGCCUGUAUAGGGUGAAGCCAGAGGAAACUCUGGUGGAGGCUCGCAGCGGUUCUGACGUGCAAAUCGAUCGUCAAAUAAUGGGCAUGGGGGGCGAAAGACUAAUCGAACCUUCUAGUAGCUGGGUUUCCGCCG
This is a ribosomal RNA of 901 nucleotides. It matches the Rfam family "Eukaryotic large subunit ribosomal RNA", at positions 38 to 963 of the family's 3401-position model.